Non-coding RNA from Labrus bergylta (ballan wrasse), 8863 nucleotides. The record is from RefSeq and is a predicted model, not a curated record. NCBI's taxonomy places the organism in Eukaryota, Metazoa, Chordata, Actinopteri, Labriformes, Labridae.
GCUGCCAUGUUGAAAUGUGAUGGUCCAGACAGAGCUGUCUUAUAAUCAGUCACCCAAACUUCUGCCCCGGGGCUAAAAGUCAAAGGCUCGCCGAGACCUGAUGUAACACUUGUGUGAUUCUCCCCUUUGAAACUUCAAACUCCAGUUUGUGAACAAAGUCCUGUCUAUCUUCUGAAUAGGAAUCUCCGACCACUGACCAAACUCCAUUUGCAACCACUGCCUAUUUGUACCUUCUCCUCAUGACUACAAUUCAUUACCACAAGUCCGAUCUGUAAGGCAGGCGGCAGGGAAGCAACACAGUAAAAUCAAAAUGCAGAAACUGACAGCAUGGAGGAAAGAAAGACGACUAUGGAGGCCUGGAGGAGUUAAUAAUAUCACUGGAAUAUAAACUGUCUGUGGACUUAUUUUGUUCCUUUCUGGGUGAGCUGAACCACAGGAGAGUGUGUUAAAAGCUCGUCCAGGAGUGUGUUUGUGUUCGAUAUGAGUAAAACAGAAGGAGACAAUGUGCUGGCUGCAGCAGAAAAAAGGCUGCUGCUCCACUUUCCUGCAGGAAAUGGAGGAGAUAGGAGGAGCUGUAUAUGUGAACGCAACAGCCACAUUUUUCGCUCGGAAUUCACCCGGAGAACGCUGCAGGAUAUUCUCCGGAGAAUUCCCCUCGAGCCAAUGGAAGGGGGAGUGAUGUAUACUGUAACUGCUGCACGGUGCAAAUGCAGAGUCCCAUCCUGGCCAUACAUCCCUCUGAAGGCCGAGCCCUGACAGUGAGCCGGCCAGCUGAGUGACGGCCCAUGAGCCGCGGCGGCUCUCUCAGGCCCGGCCAGGCUGAGGCAGGCUGGGAGGAGAAGCAGGGCCACUGUCACUGCACUGAAGCUGUUUGCCGGGGGCCGCCGGGGCCGGCUGUUAGGACCCACAACACCCAGGGAUUAUCCCCUAAUGCCUGUCACAAUGAGAUUUGAUUGGAGACCUGAACCAGCGGAUUAAUGUUGUCAAGUGAGCAGAGUGUGAAACCUACCCCAGAAACAAGCUAAUUGGGCUUCCUGCUCCACUUAAACAGCACAUAUUUAAUUAGAGUACAAAUUAUAAAUCACUUCAUUAGCUGAGGAAUUUGUUUAGCAGAACAAUGUGCUGUCCGUUUUCUAUAGCACAAGUUUCAUAGUCUCUAUAUGGCUGCAGUUAUUAAAACUCUUAUCCAGAUUAAAUCAUUACACCAUCAUAAUCCCUGUAACCAUGAUCCAGAUUUUUAUUAUUAAUCAUUUCAGAUAUAAAGUUCAUGUACUAUAGUGACUCUUUAACGACCAACUGAGCAGUAUCAGAGACUGGAUGAAGUUAAAGUAGCUUAACAUCAACACUGGUGGACACUUUUUUCUCUUUUACGUUUCAUGUUGGAGCGUAUGAAGCUGCAUCCUCUGAGUUUACACUCAAAGGUCAGUUCAUCCAGAUGACAAAAUGUAAGAAAACUACAUCUGCAAAUGAACAAAAUAAGGUUGGAGAUGGAUUAAUAUAUCAAUAUAACCUCGAUUGAAUCCACAUAUGGCUCCUAAAAGUCGAGCAAGGGGUUGCUAGGUAACCACAGCUAGAAACCUGUAUGCAUGGCUUCUACUUUUUUUUUACAUAUGAAGCCAUGUUCAUCACAUGUUAAAUAAAUGAAUAAAAUAAAAUGAUGGUGUGAUGAUUUCAUGCAUCGAAAUGUAGAGCUUCCUCUCCAGCAUUGUAAGGAGAGGAUAAAUAGCCAAUAAGCCUUUUUGUUGGUGCUCAAUUGGUGGAGCGGGCGCCCAAUGUACAGAGUCUACAGUCCUUUGUAGUGCUGGUCGCAGGUUUGACUCCCAAUCCUGACACUAUCUGGUGCAUUGCUCUCUCUCUCUCUCUCUCUCUCUCUCUCUCUCUCUCUCUCUCUGUCUCUCUCUCUCUCUCUCUCUCUCUCUCUCUCUCUAAGAGCUGCAGUCAGUCAUGAGUUUCUCUGAAGCUCCUCUGCAGAAACAGCUUUAUAUUAAACAGCAAAAUCCCAUUCAACCAAUGAAAUGAUAGAAGAAGAAAUCAAGCAAAUCAAGAAACCAUGACACAAACAGCAGCUACCAGGUGACACUCAGGAUAAAAACACAAAACAGAAAAACUGAGCAGUGUUGUGGCCGUUUCUUUCCCGUGCGAGUAGUUGAGUAAAGUUGAGCAGUUAACGCUGUCACUCAGACGGUGCAUUUUAAGGAACGAGGCCUCUCAGUGACCCACAGUCUCGUCAUUGAGCUCUGUAGGCAAACAGAGAUCUGCUGAGGAGCCGCUGAAGGGCUGUUGUCAUGUUUACAUUCAACAUGUGAUUCCGCCAACAGCAGAGUUUGUCCAGGUUGUGACCGUUGAGCAAUUAAUCCCAAGUGUCUCACACUCAGUUACCUGCUAACAACACAGUUUGUAAGCCUCAGUCAAGAAGAGUGAAUGUGAUUUUUUGGAGAAUUGUACCAGCUCAGAUUUUAACCUGAAUCUCUAAAAAAUGUUUCCCUAUACUCAUCAUGUACAAACUGGAAUAAAUGGUUACAUUGGUAAUGCCUGCUGGAGACAUCACGUCAGCAGUUUGUUUUGGACAAAGAAGCAUAGUAUAACCCAAUCUAGGCCAAAAAGGAGCUUAGUGCAGGCGGCUGCCAAAGAAUGUAUUUGUAACAUAAAUGUCCUGGUUAUGGAAGAUUGGUUAAGCGUAUGCUACAGUUGGUAAACAAAUCCUUUCAGAAAAUGUUUCAAUUGUGUUCAAAAACAAUCGACUCAGAGCUGGGGCUCGAGGUGACACACUUUUCAGGUCAUUGAUAAAAUUAGCAGUUCAGGUUAACAAGUUAGUUUAACUCAACUAUUUUGAUUUUCAAUGCACUGGAUCCACUCUUAAAAUUCAAGACAUUAGGGGUGGGGAAUCCAGGGUAACUCUCGAUACGAUACAAUAAGAUUCCCCAUACAGCAUGUGGCCCACAGUAACGAUAGUAUCACCAUACAGAGAUUCUGGAAUAAUUCAUAUACAGUAUACUACAUGACAAUCAUAUCAUAUACUUCACGAUAUCUGAUGACCUGAAGAAUGUAAAAUGUCCCUCAAAAUGUAAAGUGCAUGACGACUGUGUUUGUUCACUGUAAAUUUGGGAGUUUCAACUCUUAUUCAAUUUCAUCUCUUAGCUUCUUUUCACAGCUGUUUGACGUGAUCUUCGUCUUCUAUUAUCCUGCUCUCAACUUCGUCUUUGGCUUCUAACUUUUGUUCAUGUCAUCUCAUUUAUUUCAGAAGGGCAAUCACCAGGAGUCAUGAUGUAGAGACGGGGUGAGUCAAAGCAGGAGGGAAAUCGGUUUAGGGCUUCACAUUUUAAAAGAAUAAAAAUACGGAUAUUUGUCACAAGGGAUACGGUUGUAUUUUGAGUUGGCGCGACGAUAUAUUGCCAUAUUGAUAUUUUUGUCUUACCCCCAAACUUAUCCUCUAGUCUGGACUUGUUAUUUGUAGCAUGUAGGUCUGAAGAUAAAGUUAAAGUUAAGAAAGAUAAACAGUUUGUGUGUUCAUUGUGAUAAAAAAAAACUCUAAAGCCGUUUUCACAUUUGCACUCUUGAAAAUUUCAAGAGAAUUUUAGGAGGACUGCAGGUGAAAUUCUGAUUGGUUUGUUCACAGAUGCACCUCAUAGCGAGAAUCUAUCCCCGUCCAACGGGAGGGGGGGCAAGACAUGAAGUAUUAAGAAAGACGGUGAAAGUGGCAGACGAGGCAACAGAGUCCCCUAUAUACAAUCUAUAAUGAAAUAUGUAUUAUGAAAUAUAUUAGGGAUCUGGCAGGAGAAACCCUGGAUGAAGUUUGACUUGUGCUUUAAAACAUGCAGCUGCAAAUAUCAGGAGCUUUGUGCAAGUGUGAAUGCACUAUAAAGUGUUUUUUUAAAGACUAUAGUCAAAGCACUUAGAAUUUACAAAUAUGCAAUAAAUAUUCAGUAUCUGUCAUAUCUGAUGUCUGUGUACUGAAGCCAAAACCAUCAGAUCUUUAUAAGGCUGCUCAGGUCUUAAUAAAGAUGUUGUCGUGUCAGAGGACACUGAUUAAGGCUUUUAUUAUGUUGAUGCAUGCAUAUCAUAGUGGUGGUUUGUUAUGAUUAUACAAAGACAUCAGUGUGUUCAUGUACAAAAUGUUAUCAAUGAACUUGUAACAGGACGAUGCAUUGAAUGGGAUUAAUAAAGAUGUUGAUGACUAUUCAACCGGCAAAUUCAACUGAUCAUUAUGAUUGCAUUUAUCUUCCAAGGACCAACCAAGGAGCAGUCACACUGGCACUUUAAAGGUGGAAAUGUUAUGUUAUGUGUUCAGCCAUGCAGCUUAAUUAAACACACUCUGCUAGAGAAUUAACUGCUGCAACAAAAAUGAGAAACGGUUUGCAGGAAUCAAUGGUACAAAUACCUCAUUUCAACAACAGUUUGUUUACUGUCCUGCAAUUUUUUAGCAUGCUCAUUCGUCUGCAGAGAUGUUAUCCCCAUAUCAGUAAGGAAAUGCACUAAGAUCUUUAUUUGAGAAGGGAGGGGGUGCUAGCAGGUUAGCAUCAAGCUGGUCAGCGAAGAAGAUCCCUAAGAUUACUAAAAUGUCACUGUGCCAACAAACUUGUGCAACAAAACAUAAAAAGCUACAGUUAUUUAAAAUCCUAAAAGGUAUCUUAUAUCCUGUUUCAGGAUUCAAGAUCAAGUCAGUGAGAGUGUGAUCAGGUAUCAUGGGGACAUCUGCACGAAGAAGACACAAAGCUGCUAAAGUGGAAACAAAAGCACCUGGUGAAGAGAUGAGCAGAGUAAAAUACUCGUACUAUGACGUUAGCAACAAAUUGGUAGAAAAAAAGCUGCAGUAGAGUGAUGGGGAGGGAAGCUAAGCAGUCAAAUUUAAAGCAGCCACUGAACUAUUCAAUAAUAGGGUUUUGCUGUUUAGCCUUACUGGUCGCUUUUUUUUUGUCAUUUCAGCCAGUGGAAAUGAAUUUGCAUCUCCACAUCCCACUGUGACAUGCAAACCAUCCAAUGAAUGACCACAGGAGUAAAAACAACCCCCCCCCCCCCCCCCCCCACCUCCCCUCCCAACAUCAACUGCUGUAGGUGAAAACUGAGAGAGUUCAAAACAUCACAGGAACAGAUGGAGCAUGUAGUAGCAGCUUCUGUGACGGAUGGGGAUUUCUGUGAUCUUACACAGUUUACUGUUUGUGCAGAAACAGAUCCUGCAGCCAUGACAACAAGUAAGCUUCAUCAGAGCCUCAUCUUUGCUUUUUAUAGUGCUGUUUUCUUCACACUGAACACGGACAAUGUUUCAAAGCAUUGAAAAUCCCCCUUUAAAACACAAAUGUUGUUCUUAAGUACAAAUUUGAUAUUCAAAAUCUACUCCAUUACAUUUCAAAUAUUGCACUUUUUACACAUCAAUAUUUACUUUGCACAGCUCCAAGUUACUUUUACUUUAUAAACACUUACAUUUAAAAAAGCCUUUCUGUAUGUCUGUAAGUCUAAUGUCUGAUUGAAGUCUUUUUAAAUCAUUAAAUCCAAACCCAGGACAUGGGUCGCAAAUUAGCCAUGGCUACAAACCUGUAUACAUGGCAUCUAUUUUUUUAUUUUACAUAUGAAGCCAUACUCACUGCAUGUGUCAGUGUGUUACAUAAAUGAUAAAAAAAAUACAAUAAAAUUAUGAAAAGAAUAUGAUGCAGUGGAUUGAAUGUUGCAGGGUAAUAAUUAUUAGUUACUAGUUUUUUGUUCGUUACAAAUUACUUUUCAAAAUACCAGAAAAACACAAUUUGCUUCACUAUAUGAUGCAGUUUGUAUGAUGCUAUUAUUUAACAGUUUCUUGUUAUUUUAUACACUAAUACAGAAUAUUAAAGUACUGCUUGAUGCAUUUUAGUAAGACUUUAAGUUUCUAGUUACUUUUUUGCAUUAAAAAAAAACAUCUUUGGUUCUUGAUGAUGAUUCUUAUAAAGUUUUCUUACAGCUUGUAAUAUAUUCCCGUAUGAUAUGAUGCACCCGCAGUAUUACUUAUGCACCAAAUAAUACACAAAGCAUCCACAACCGGCUCCACAUCGGCAAAGUACAACUUUAAAAUGCUCUUACAUCUAAUCUAACAAAAUGAUUAAAUACAUUCUGGAUCUUCUUUUGUAUUUAAGUACAUUUAGUUGAUGAUACAAACAAUAUCAUUUAUGACUCAAUUAAUUUUAAAACUUGUGAUUACUUUGGACUUUGCUAUUACUACUUUAACUUCAGAAGGAUAUGACUUCUUCUUUGAAAUACUGAGAAUAAAAAAGUGUCUGACUUUAACCUGCACAACAACAUCUCCAAACAUUGACUUUAUGCAUCAGCUGUAACACCACCAUCAGGUUCAGAUCGACUCUCCGGCUGCUCUAACAUCUCUAAAAACUCUGAACCAUCUUCACCAUCAGGCCCGACUCCCAAGGCCUUUUUUUAACAGCCUCCAUAUCUGAGACACACCUCCUGGAUUGCAGCCGUGUGAAACAGGCAGACACAAAUGGCGAUGACAUGAUCCAGGCUAAGCUCUAGGGAGCAACAGCUUCUCCACUGAACACCGACCACAAAGAAGAAAGAAAAGCAGCUCAAGCUGUUUUUUCUGUCUCAAGAUGCUAAAAACAAAAACUCACCUAAUGGAGGUUCCAUGCUUGAGCUGACUUGUGUGUUUACAUUGACCAUGUCGUCCUCUGUUUCCUCUCAAACAUGCGAUUUAAAAUCCACUUUUUUCCCUCCUCAACAUAAGGUGUAAAAUGUGGAAGUUUGGCAGCAGGGUGCUGCAGUGUGAGAAGGCUGUUGUUGGUGCAAGGUAAGGCCGCUGUUGCCGCUGUUAUCUUAUUGAUUUUCCUAAUCUGGGCAAAUGUGGGUGGGGAGGUUAAACAGUAACCAGGCUCGUAUGGACACCAAUCUAUAUAGCAGCUGUAACUACGGCAACGUGAUGAUAGAAACUCAAAUAGACAUUAAGUUAUCAUGCGCUUUUCCCCUCUUUCUCAUCACCAAAUGUCAGAUUCUCCACAUGCAGAUUGAAAAAGUUUUAUUAUAAUUUUAAAAAAGUGAGUUGAUAGAGAAAGAAAAGAGUGAAAGGCAAAGGGUGGGGGGGCAUAAAAGACAGAGAGGAGUGGAGAAUGUACUGAGGGAGGCAGCCCGGCAGACUGAGUGUGAUGAGUGACGUCAGAGGUUUUGUUUUGACUGAUGGGAAAAGUCUGUCAGCUCUCAGGUGUAGAGUUAGGUCUGAGCAGGCUGUGGGGCAGCAAGGCAACAGCCGGAAGCUCAUUUUAAAAUAAUAUUUCCAUUUUCUCCUAACAGAAAUGGAAAUCUUUGGUCCUCUGCACCUCAUAAAAGGAAAUUCGUCAUCAUUUGAGAGAUACCGGCAGACAGAACUUUUACAUUUCACAGUCAGGUCGUUCUCAGAAUUUAUAAUGCUGUUCUGGGUUUACUUUUCAGGGACCAAAACUUCUUGGAUGGGUUUAGUAAAAAACUCAUAAGUCGGGGUUACAAUAAGUAUGGAAGUGAUGUGAGUAAAGUAACCUAUGUAAGUUAAAAUAUGUGUGUGAUGCAACAGGAAUAAAACUACAGAAAGCAUACAUACUCUUAAGUUAAAUCAUCACCAACUAUGGGGAAAGACUUGGUUUUUUUAACCCAUCUAUCCAAUCCCAUCUCCUCCCCAAGGCUGCUUACACACUAGAUGAUCUAUUUGGAUGAACACAAGAUAAAGCGUGCUCAUCAGUGAGCUUUAGGCACAUUUAUUUUAGUCUUUGUACAGAGCCAUGUUAGCCAUUUCCCUUUAUAUUCAGUCUUCAUGCUACGCUAAGCUAAGGGUUUGUGGCUUUAGCUUCAAAUUUGAUGAACUGACAUGAUCAUGGUAAACUAUAAUUAUCUAACUCUCAGUGGAAAAGACAGCUCCUGAGUUUAUUUGUCUGCUGAUGAUAACCUGAAUGAUGCAAUUAGUUCAUGCUUUAAAACAACAAAUAUGCACUUUUUUUAUAAGUAACAAGAGCUGAACAAAAGCAGCGUAUGAUAAACUUAACCUCUUAUAGAAAAUCAUUUUCAUCCUCUGACGGUUUUUUAAUUUAAGGUUGUGAAAAUGAACUUUUGUUUCAGUCAGUGAAGUGCUGAGCUCGUUGCUUCUUAGUGCUUGUUUGAGAGGAACUUUCUUUGUUUGCUUGGCAGAAAUGUUUUCCAUAUCAAAAUAUGUUGCUGUGUGUGUGUGUGUGUGUGUGUGUGUGUGUGUGUGUGUGUGUGUGUGUGUGUUCAUGCAUUUGCUGGGAGGCACAGCUGAUUCCUCGUAUUUUACACCAUAAAAGCAGCAUUAGCCUCCAGUUUUAUGGCACAGAGAGCCUCUGAAGGGAAAGCUGGGAGACGUAAUGAGGUGAAAUGCGGGACAGAAAAUUUCCUGCAGCAGCAGUGAGUAAACACAAAAUAACAGACAGCUGAAUAUUUAUAGGGACAUCGAGCGUCAUUGGUUAUUUAUAACUGCAUUAAUGUUCAAUCAGGCAGCUGAAGAAUACACUCAUUCAGGUUUACUACAGUAAUAAGCAGACAGUUUGCUCACAAUGACAGAGACAAAAAAGUUAAGUCAGAUUAGAAAGAGAAUCAAGAAGUCGUCUACAGUCACAGUAAGUUUAAUCUGUACAAGAACAGUGCUUCAGUUUGAGCAUAAAAUAACAAUAACAGUGCAUACACUCUUAAGAAGUUUAAAACAAGUAUUACUUAGAAAUGGACAGGUUGAUGACCAACAGAGGUAAAAAAAAAAACAUAAACAUUUGUACACAUUACUAAAGGUUUCUGUUGUCAUAGUGGCAACUGGACUGCUGUUUCAUUCUGUUGCACAGCCCAGUGUUUGUUAAAACUGAAAGUCCUUAUGUUAAAGUGUUUCUUCUGUCUUCCAUUGAAGCACAUUUGAAUCUCU